RNAcentral lists this small RNA (374 nucleotides) under Pan troglodytes (chimpanzee). RNAcentral's name for it is "processed transcript". Lineage: Eukaryota; Metazoa; Chordata; Mammalia; Primates; Hominidae. The record is from RNAcentral.
GGUUAAGCCGCCGCUGAGGCCGGAAGGAGCUAGACGGAGGUCGGAUCCCAGGGUCUGAGAGAGAGCCAAGAUGAAUAUGGCCUUCCAAGAAGACAUGCUGACAAGAAAAGACUCAGAGUGCCCAGGAGCUUCCCCUUCCUACCAACCCUGCAGCCUGGAACCCUAGCCAUACCUCUCCCUGACUGUGGACAGUACAGCCUUUGAGCUGAGCCAAGCUGCUCCCCUGGCGAUUUCCAUAAGAGUACCACUUAUCAGCACCUUGGACAGCAUACAAAUGAUUCUGCAUCUCCAGUUUUGAUCAGCGACUGGUUGAAUCCGUGGAUGCAAAACCUGUGGAUACAGAGGGACAGAGGCCUACUGUACAUGGCACAUGG